RNAcentral lists this long non-coding RNA (1085 nucleotides) under Carassius auratus (goldfish). Its description in RNAcentral is "lncRNA (ENSCARG00000044332.1)". Lineage: Eukaryota; Metazoa; Chordata; Actinopteri; Cypriniformes; Cyprinidae. The record is from RNAcentral.
UGAAGGAUAUAGGCUGUCAAUCAUACACAACUAUUAGCCAAUCAUAGCAUUGGCCGUUUACCUCUGAGUGUACAAUCCGCCAUGCCUAUUCAAACAGAGAGUUCUGAUAAAGGGGGUCAAAACUAGUCAGAAAAUAGCCUAUUACUUAUAAAUUAUGUUUUUUUUUUUUUAUGUUAAACACCUCUUUUGAGCAGAUACAGGUCUGUAAUGAGCAUUAAAACAAAGAGCUUUAGGUUAUGUACAACCAUUUGACAUGCUCAAUGUCCAAACUAGUAUCUUGGCAUGGGCUUGGUAUUAUUAAGUAACACAGGAAACAGCUGAUUGGGGUGUGAGUUGUUAGGUCAGAGCCUUUUGACAGGCAGGGAGUUGCAGCCUUUCUCAACCUUGUUCCCCAGCCAGGAUGAACAAUAACAUGCGGACUCUUCUUUCUCUUUAUUUUUUGGCUGUCCUCCUAUCUCGCCCGUCAUAGUCAGCAUAUCAAGUCAUCUGCUCCAGGGACCAGUGCUGUCAUAUCCGACAAGCUGAAGACUCUGGCCCCACGGUGCUUAGUUAAGCAAAGCAUGCAGGAAGGGAUGAAAACAAAGAACAACAUUCUUUACUUCAUAUAGCACACUGAGGUGGACUUCGGGAGAACUACACAGCUGGUCUCUGAGUUUAAUACAGGAAAACGAUAAAGGAAGCCGAUGCUGAUAAGAUCCUUAUGUACAGCGUUUGAACCUCAACGACUGGACAGGAAGUGAAAGGAGCCUGGCGCUGUCACCUUAUUCCAGUUAAGUUCUGCGCCACUCUGAGGCCCUGCAAAUGCUCUUAACUUCCUAUACGUGAUGCUAUCGCACAGACUCAUUGUUGUAGACUCAGGUGAAGCCAUUAUGAUAACAUCACAAAGAAAAGCUUUCAUAAAUUGUCAGCUAUUGUGAUCCUGCCUUUGUGAAGUACUCGGCUGUUUCCUCAGUGCGACUUCGGAAAGAUCUAAUCAGCGUCGAUACUGAUUCUGAGUAACUCUUCUCUAUAAACUCUCACUCCCUUCACUUUCCACAAUCUUUUGUCUGAGUUUGCCAGCUGUUUUUGUCAUUUAUAUAACUUGU